This 600-nucleotide ribosomal RNA is filed under the name uncultured Alphaproteobacteria bacterium. RNAcentral's name for it is "bacterial SSU rRNA". It matches the Rfam family "Bacterial small subunit ribosomal RNA", at positions 80 to 715 of the family's 1533-position model. The record is from RNAcentral. Lineage: Bacteria; Pseudomonadati; Pseudomonadota; Alphaproteobacteria.
UUCGGGAACUGGAGAGUGGCGCACGGGUGAGUAACGCGGGGGGACCUACCUCUUAGUGGGGGAUAACGGUUGGAAACGACCGCUAAUACCGCAUACGCCCUUCGGGGGAAAGAUUUAUCGCUAAGAGAUGGACCCGCGUUGGAUUAGAUAGUUGGUGAGGUAACGGCUCACCAAGUCAGCGAUCCAUAGCUGGUUUGAGAGGAUGAUCAGCCACACUGGGACUGAGACACGGCCCAGACUCCUACGGGAGGCAGCAGUGGGGAAUAUUGGACAAUGGGGGCAACCCUGAUCCAGCCAUGCCGCGUGAGUGAAGAAGGCCUUCGGGUUGUAAAGCUCUUUCAGAUGCGAAGAUGAUGACGGUAACAUCAGAAGAAGCCCCGGCUAAUUUCGUGCCAGCAGCCGCGGUAAUACGAAAGGGGCUAGCGUUGUUCGGAUUUACUGGGCGUAAAGGGCACGCAGGCGGUCUUGCCAGUCAGGGGUGAAAGCCCGAGGCUCAACCUCGGAACUGCCUCUGAUACUGCAAGACUUGAGACUAGGAGAGGGUGGUGGAAUUCCCAGUGUAGAGGUGAAAUUCGUAGAUAUUGGGAGGAACACCAGAGG